CCCAGUCACCCAGAGACAGACAGAACCGGGCUACGGAGGUCCCAUCUCCCCCUGUCACCCAGAGACAGACAGAACCGGGUUAUGGAGGUCCCAUCUCCCCCUGUCACCCAGAGACAGACAGAACCGGGCUACGGAGGUCCGAUCUCCCCCUGUCACCCAGAGACAGACAGAACCGGGCUACGGAGGUCCGAUCUCCCCCUGUCACCCAGAGACAGGCUGAUGCGGGUCGGUAUUGGCUCUCAUUGGUCUCUUUGUAUCUGAUAAAUGUCACCACUACCAGCGGGUUUGUACAUAAUGCAGGGAGCUGGG
Long non-coding RNA from Oncorhynchus tshawytscha (Chinook salmon), 309 nucleotides. The record is from Ensembl. Lineage: Eukaryota; Metazoa; Chordata; Actinopteri; Salmoniformes; Salmonidae.